GUCCUGAUAGUAUAAAUAUUACACUGGUCUUGUAAACCAGAGAUGAAAACCAAUUUUCUCAGGAUA
The sequence is a transfer RNA, 66 nucleotides long. It matches the Rfam family "tRNA". From Rfam's summary of the family: Transfer RNA (tRNA) molecules are approximately 80 nucleotides in length.